AGAAUGCCGGUAUGAGUAGCGAAAGACAGGUGAGAAUCCUGUCCACCGAAUGACUAAGGUUUCCUGGGGAAGGCUCGUCCGCCCAGGGUUAGUCGGGACCUAAGCCGAGGCCGACAGGCGUAGGCGAUGGACAACAGGUUGAUAUUCCUGUACCCGUUGUUUUUGUUUGAGCAAUGGAGGGACGCAGGAGGCUAAGAAGUGCAGACUGAUGGAUAUGUCUGUUCAAGCAGUAAGUCUUGGUAGGAGUCAAAUGCUUCUACCUAUACGGACAAGCUGUGAUGAGGAGGGAAAUAAUAGUACCGAAGCUUCUGAUGUCACACUGCCAAGAAAAGCUUCUAGUGAGAAAACAACGGCCCGUACCGCAAACCGACACAGGUAGUCGAGGAGAGAAUCCUAAGGUGAGCGAGAGAACUCUCGUUAAGGAACUCGGCAAAAUGACCCCGUAACUUCGGGAGAAGGGGUGCUGCUCUAACGAGCAGCCGCAGUGAAUAGGCCCAA
This 498-nucleotide ribosomal RNA is filed under the name Listeria monocytogenes. RNAcentral describes it as "partial 23S ribosomal RNA". It matches the Rfam family "Bacterial large subunit ribosomal RNA", at positions 1291 to 1795 of the family's 2925-position model. Lineage: Bacteria; Bacillati; Bacillota; Bacilli; Caryophanales; Listeriaceae. The record is from RNAcentral.